RNAcentral lists this ribosomal RNA (494 nucleotides) under uncultured bacterium. RNAcentral describes it as "partial 16S ribosomal RNA". It matches the Rfam family "Bacterial small subunit ribosomal RNA", at positions 28 to 507 of the family's 1533-position model. The record is from RNAcentral.
GACGAACGCUGGCGGCGUGCUUAACACAUGCAAGUCGAACGGUGAAGCGCCUUCCUUUUUGGUGGGUGUGGAUGAGUGGCGAACGGGUGAGUAACACGUGAGUAACCUGCCCCCUUCUUCUGGAUAACCGCAUGAAAGUGUGGCUAAUACGGGAUAUUCUGGGUCUGUCGCAUGAUGGGUCUGGGAAAGAUAUUGUUUCGGUGGGGGAUGGGCUCGCGGCCUAUCAGCUUGUUGGUGGGGUGAUGGCCUACCAAGGCGGUGACGGGUAGCCGGCCUGAGAGGGUGGACGGUCACACUGGGACUGAGACACGGCCCAGACUCCUACGGGAGGCAGCAGUGGGGAAUAUUGCACAAUGGGCGCAAGCCUGAUGCAGCGACGCCGCGUGAGGGAUGGAGGCCUUCGGGUUGUGAACCUCUUUCGCCAGUGAAGCAGGCCUGCCUCGUUUGUGGGUGGGUUGACGGUAGCUGGAUAGGAAGCGCCGGCUAACUACGUG